RNAcentral lists this ribosomal RNA (497 nucleotides) under uncultured bacterium. Its description in RNAcentral is "partial 16S ribosomal RNA". It matches the Rfam family "Bacterial small subunit ribosomal RNA", at positions 28 to 507 of the family's 1533-position model. The record is from RNAcentral.
GAUGAACGCUGGCGGCGUGCCUAAUACAUGCCAGUCGAGCGAACAGACGAGGAGCUUGCUCCUCUGACGUUAGCGGCGGACGGGUGAGUAACACGUGGAUAACCUACCUAUAAGACUGGGAUAACUUCGGGAAACCGGAGCUAAUACCGGAUAAUAUAUUGAACCGCAUGGUUCAAUAGUGAAAGACGGUUUUGCUGUCACUUAUAGAUGGAUCCGCGCCGCAUUAGCUAGUUGGUAAGGUAACGGCUUACCAAGGCAACGAUGCGUAGCCGACCUGUGAGGGGGAUCGGCCACACUGGAACUGAGACACGGUCCAGACUCCUACGGGAGGCAGCAGUAGGGAAUCUUCCGCAAUGGGCGAAAGCCUGACGGAGCAACGCCGCGUGAGUGAUGAAGGUCUUCGGAUCGUAAAACUCUGUUAUUAGGGAAGAACAAAUGUGUAAGUAACUAUGCACGUCUUGACGGUACCUAAUCAGAAAGCCACGGCUAACUACGUG